UCCAAGGAAGCAGCAGGCGCGUAAAUUACUGCAAGUUUACAGAACGAAGUAGUGACGAGAAAUAGCAGUGAGGUGCGCUGUGCGUAUCUCGACUGAAAUGAGAGCGAUUUAAAACCCCCAUCGAGGAUCAAUUGGAGGGCAAGUCUGGUGCCAGCAGCCGCGGUAAUUCCAGCUCCAAUAGCGUAUACUAAAGUUGUUGCAGUUAAAAAGCUCGUAGUCGAACGUGUGGCGUGCGCGCGGGUCCGUCGGGGGGCGAAUGCCCGUCGAGCAGCGACUCGCGCGGUGCCAGUCUGGCACUUUUUUGAGGUGCCUCUUUCACUGUAAAAAAAUUAGGGUGUUUCAAGCAAAGGUUGAUAUUGGAAUAUGAUAGUAUGGGAUGAUGAGAUAGGCCGUUGGCGGUAUUUUGUUGGUUUGCGCGUUGGCGGAAUGAUGAAGAGGGACAGUUGGGGGUAUUCGAAUUCUAGUGUCAGAGGUGAAAUUCUUGGAUUACUAGAAGGCGAACGACUGCGAAAGCAUUUACCAAGGAUGUUUUCAUUGAUCAAGAACGAAAGUAUGGGGAUCGAAGAUGAUUAGAUACCAUCGUAGUCCAUACCGUAAACGAUGCCGACUCGCGAUCGUCCCCUUGCUCUAGUGGCGGGGGGCGGCAGCGCAUGAGAAAUCAAAGUCUUUGGGUUCCGGGGGGAGUAUGGUCGCAAGGCUGAAACUUAAAGGAAUUGACGGAAGGGCACCACCAGGAGUGGAGCCUGCGGCUUAAUUUGACUCAACACGGGGAAACUUACCAGGUCCAGACAUAGGAAGGAUUGACAGAUUGAGAGCUCUUUCUUGAUUCUAUGGKGGGCGGUGCAUGGCCGUUCUUAGUUGGUGGAGUGAUUUGUCUGGUUGAUUCCGUUAACGAACGAGACCACAGCCUACUAAAUAGUGCGCGUUGUGGCGACCCUUUGAGAGGCACUUCUUAUAUGGACACUUUGGGUUUACCAGAGGGAAGUUUGUGGCUAUAACAGGUCUGUGAUGCCCUUAGAUGUUCUGGGCCGCACGCGCGCUACACUGACUGGGGGAGCACGUUGCUUUGUCCCACGACAACGUCCUGGGCCGGAAGGUUUGGGUAAUCGUGUGAAUACCAGUCGUGAUGGGGCUAGAUCUUUGCAAUUAUUGAUCUCCAACGAGGAAUUCCUAGUAAACGCAAGUCAUCAGCUUGCAUUGAUUACGUCCCUGCCCUUUGUACACACCGCCCGUCGCACCUACCGAUUG
This 1248-nucleotide ribosomal RNA is filed under the name Schizochytrium aggregatum. RNAcentral describes it as "SSU rRNA". It matches the Rfam family "Eukaryotic small subunit ribosomal RNA", at positions 417 to 1711 of the family's 1831-position model. The record is from RNAcentral. Lineage: Eukaryota; Bigyra; Thraustochytrida; Thraustochytriidae.